UACGAACGCUGGCGGCGUGCCUAAUACAUGCAAGUCGAACGAGAGCGCCCGGUGCUUGCACUGGUCAAUCUAGUGGCGAACGGGUGAGUAACACGUGGGUAACCUGCCCAUCAGAGGGGGAUAACAUCCGGAAACGGAUGCUAAAACCGCAUAGGUCUUCGAGCCGCAUGGCUUGAAGAGGAAAAGAGGCGCAAGCUUCUGCUGAUGGAUGGACCCGCGGUGCAUUAGCUAGUUGGUGAGGUAACGGCUCACCAAGGCCGUGAUGCAUAGCCGACCUGAGAGGGUGAUCGGCCACAUUGGGACUGAGACACGGCCCAAACUCCUACGGGAGGCAGCAGUAGGGAAUCUUCCGCAAUGGACGCAAGUCUGACGGAGCAACGCCGCGUGAGUGAAGAAGGUUUUCGGAUCGUAAAACUCUGUUGUUAGAGAAGAACAAGUGCUAGAGUAACUGUUAGCGCCUUGACGGUAUCUAACCAGAAAGCCACGGCUAACUACGUG
RNAcentral lists this ribosomal RNA (498 nucleotides) under uncultured bacterium. RNAcentral's name for it is "partial 16S ribosomal RNA". It matches the Rfam family "Bacterial small subunit ribosomal RNA", at positions 29 to 507 of the family's 1533-position model. The record is from RNAcentral.